GAUCAACGCUGGCGGCGUGCUUAACACAUGCAAGUCGAACGAAGUUUUUCCUUCGGGAGAAACUUAGUGGCGGACGGGUGAGUAACGCGUGGGUAACCUGCCCUGUACAGGGGGACAACAGCUGUAAACGGCUGCUAAUACCGCAUAAGCCCUUAGCACUGCAUGGUGCAUAGGGAAAAGGAGCAAUCCGGUACAGGAUGGACCCGCGUCUGAUUAGCCAGUUGGCAGGGUAACGGCCUACCAAAGCGACGAUCAGUAGCCGAUCUGAGAGGAUGUACGGCCACAUUGGGACUGAGACACGGCCCAGACUCCUACGGGAGGCAGCAGUGGGGAAUAUUGCACAAUGGAGGAAACUCUGAUGCAGCGACGCCGCGUGAGUGAAGAAGUAUUUCGGUAUGUAAAGCUCUAUCAGCAGGGAAGAAAAUAACGGUACCUGACUAAGAAGCACCGGCUAAAUACGUG
This 462-nucleotide ribosomal RNA is filed under the name uncultured bacterium. Its description in RNAcentral is "partial 16S ribosomal RNA". It matches the Rfam family "Bacterial small subunit ribosomal RNA", at positions 28 to 507 of the family's 1533-position model. The record is from RNAcentral.